AUUGAACGCUGGCGGCAUGCUUUACACAUGCAAGUCGAACGGCAGCGCGGGCUUCGGCCUGGCGGCGAGUGGCGAACGGGUGAGUAAUGCAUCGGAACGUGCCCAGUAGUGGGGGAUAGCCCGGCGAAAGCCGGAUUAAUACCGCAUACGACCUGAGGGUGAAAGCGGGGGACCGAAAGGCCUCGCGCUAUUGGAGCGGCCGAUGUCGGAUUAGCUAGUUGGUGGGGUAAAGGCUUACCAAGGCGACGAUCCGUAGCUGGUCUGAGAGGACGACCAGCCACACUGGGACUGAGACACGGCCCAGACUCCGAGGGGGGGCAGCAGGGGGGAAUUUUGGAAAAGGGGGGCAACCCUGACCCAGCCAUGCCGGGGGCGGGAAGAAGGCCUGCGGGUUGUAAACCGCCUUUGUUGGGGAAGAAAUCCUCUGGGCUAAUACCCCGGGGGGAUGACGGUACCGGAAAAAUAAGCACCGGCUAACUACGU
RNAcentral lists this ribosomal RNA (483 nucleotides) under uncultured bacterium. RNAcentral describes it as "partial 16S ribosomal RNA". It matches the Rfam family "Bacterial small subunit ribosomal RNA", at positions 29 to 506 of the family's 1533-position model. The record is from RNAcentral.